RNAcentral lists this long non-coding RNA (437 nucleotides) under Brassica napus (rape). RNAcentral describes it as "long non-coding RNA (BNAP_LNC023396)". Lineage: Eukaryota; Viridiplantae; Streptophyta; Magnoliopsida; Brassicales; Brassicaceae. The record is from RNAcentral.
UCCUAAAAAUUGCAUUGGUUUAUAGGAUACAUAUUAUUAAUUUAGGAAGGGUCUACAACAAUUUAGGAAAUUAAUAAUAAACAAUUAUUCUUCUAUAAUCUUAUAGUUCCCACUUGUUAGAGAUACAUGACUUUUCACUUCGAACAGUUGCGUCUUUCACCAUGUUUAUGAUAGUAUCAUCUUAAAAUAAAUACAUUUGAUUUGAGAAGUUUAGACUAUUCAUAUAAUUAUCAUUUUAGAAUAACUAAUUUUAAAUUGAAAAAAUGGAACUAUUUAAAUUGAAAAGUUGUGACUAUUCAUAUAAGUAUCAUUUCAAAAUAACUAAUUUUAAUUUGAAAAGAUGUAACUAUUUAAAUUGAAAUUUUAUGACUAUUCAUAUAGGUAUCAUUUCAAAUAACUAUUUUUAAAUUGAAAAGAUAUGACUAUUCAAAUAAAUC